AAUAUUGCACAAUGGGGGCAACCCUGAUCCAGCCAUGCCGCGUGUUUGCAGAAGGUCUUCGGAUUGUAAUGCACUUUAAGUUGGUAGGAAGGGCUUUUGGUUAAUACCCUGCAUGUUUUACGUUACCAACAGAAUAUGCAUCGGCUACCGUUGUGCCCGCAGCCGCGGUAAUACAGAGGGUGCAAGCGUUAAGCGGAAUUACUGGGCGAAAAGCGCGCGUAGGUGGUUCAGUAAGAUGGGUGUGAAAUCCCCGGGCUUAACAUGGGAACUGCUUUCAUAACUGCUGAGCUAGAGUACGGUAGAGGGUAGUGGAAUUUCCUGUGUAGCGGUGAAAUGCGUAGAUAUAGGAAGGAACACCAGUGGCGAAGGCGACUACCUGGACUGAUACUGACACUGAGGUGCGAAAGAGUGGGGAGCAAAC
Molecule: ribosomal RNA, 421 nt
Filed under: uncultured bacterium
Lineage: Bacteria
Description: partial 16S ribosomal RNA
Rfam family: Bacterial small subunit ribosomal RNA
Source: RNAcentral